CGCCACCCUAGCUCAGUCGGUAGAGCAAUUCACUCGUAAUGAAUAGGUCAGGGGUUCGAUUCCCCUGGUGGCUCC
Molecule: transfer RNA, 75 nt
Filed under: Mycolicibacterium fortuitum
Lineage: Bacteria; Bacillati; Actinomycetota; Actinomycetes; Mycobacteriales; Mycobacteriaceae
Description: tRNA-Thr(cgt)
Rfam family: tRNA
About the family: Transfer RNA (tRNA) molecules are approximately 80 nucleotides in length. Their secondary structure includes four short double-helical elements and three loops (D, anti-codon, and T loops).
Source: RNAcentral